Molecule: ribosomal RNA, 480 nt
Filed under: Escherichia coli
Lineage: Bacteria; Pseudomonadati; Pseudomonadota; Gammaproteobacteria; Enterobacterales; Enterobacteriaceae
Description: bacterial SSU rRNA
Rfam family: Bacterial small subunit ribosomal RNA
Source: RNAcentral
AUGGAGGGGGAUAACUACUGGAAACGGUAGCUAAUACCGCAUAACGUCGCAAGACCAAAGAGGGGGACCUUCGGGCCUCUUGCCAUCGGAUGUGCCCAGAUGGGAUUAGCUAGUAGGUGGGGUAACGGCUCACCUAGGCGACGAUCCCUAGCUGGUCUGAGAGGAUGACCAGCCACACUGGAACUGAGACACGGUCCAGACUCCUACGGGAGGCAGCAGUGGGGAAUAUUGCACAAUGGGCGCAAGCCUGAUGCAGCCAUGCCGCGUGUAUGAAGAAGGCCUUCGGGUUGUAAAGUACUUUCAGCGGGGAGGAAGGGAGUAAAGUUAAUACCUUUGCUCAUUGACGUUACCCGCAGAAGAAGCACCGGCUAACUCCGUGCCAGCAGCCGCGGUAAUACGGAGGGUGCAAGCGUUAAUCGGAAUUACUGGGCGUAAAGCGCACGCAGGCGGAUUGUUAAGUCAGAUGUGAAAUCCCCCCGG